RNAcentral lists this ribosomal RNA (430 nucleotides) under Pseudomonadota bacterium. Its description in RNAcentral is "Proteobacteria bacterium partial 16S ribosomal RNA". It matches the Rfam family "Bacterial small subunit ribosomal RNA", at positions 355 to 776 of the family's 1533-position model. Lineage: Bacteria; Pseudomonadati; Pseudomonadota. The record is from RNAcentral.
UGGGGAAUAUUGGACAAUGGGCGAAAGCCUGAUCCAGCCAUGCCGCGUGUGUGAAGAAGGCCUUUUGGUUGUAAAGCACUUUAAGCGAGGAGGAGGCUACUAGUACUAAUACUACUGGAUAGUGGACGUUACUCGCAGAAUAAGCACCGGCUAACUCUGUGCCAGCAGCCGCGGUAAUACAGAGGGUGCGAGCGUUAAUCGGAUUUACUGGGCGUAAAGCGUGCGUAGGCGGCUGAUUAAGUCGGAUGUGAAAUCCCUGAGCUUAACUUAGGAAUUGCAUUCGAUACUGGUCAGCUAGAGUAUAGGAGAGGAUGGUAGAAUUCCAGGUGUAGCGGUGAAAUGCGUAGAGAUCUGGAGGAAUACCGAUGGCGAAGGCAGCCAUCUGGCCUAAUACUGACGCUGAGGUACGAAAGCAUGGGGAGCAAACAGG